RNAcentral lists this long non-coding RNA (4187 nucleotides) under Homo sapiens (human). RNAcentral's name for it is "HSALNT0108756". Lineage: Eukaryota; Metazoa; Chordata; Mammalia; Primates; Hominidae. The record is from RNAcentral.
UCUUGAAAUGUAAUUGUUGGUUUCCUCUACUUUUUCCUUCAGUUCAUUCAGUUUUUCUUCACAUAUUUUGAAGCUCUGUUAAUUGGUGCAUUAACAUUUUGAAUUUCUAUGGGAGGAUCGACUCUUUUAUCAUUAUAUAACAUCCUUCUCUGUCUUUUGUUAUUUUCUUUGUUCUGAAGUCUAGUUAAUCUGACAUUGAUAUAGUCUCUUUCUUUUUGUUUAAUGUUUGGGCAGUAUAUCUUUUUUCAUUUUUUUGAGACAGGGUCUGGCUGUCUCACCCAGACUGGAGUACAGUGGUGUGAUUUCGGCUCACUGCAACCUCCACCUCCCACGUUCAAGUGAUUCUCAUGCCUCAGCCUUCCAAGUAGCUGGGAUUACAGGCAUGUGCCACCAAGCUCAGCUAAUUGUUGUAUUUUUAGUAAAGACAGGUUUUCGCCGUGUUGGCCAGGCUGGUCUCGAACUCCUGACCUCAAGCAAUCCUCCUGCCUUGGCCUCCCAAAAUACUGAGAUUACAGGCAAGAGCUACCGCACUGGGUCACAAUAUAUUUUUUUUUAUUCUUUUACUGUUGACUUAUAUAUUUCACUAUAUUCAACAGAACUUCUAAUAGUACAUAUUUAGAUCAUAUUUUGUAAUUAACUUCAUAUUUUAAUUGGUGUUAUUUAGACUAUUCACAUGUAAUAUACUUCUUGAUAUGUUAUGGCUUAACCCCAUCAUUUUUUUUUUCUUUUGGAUGUUUUCUGUUUGUUCUCACUGGUUUUUAUUUCUCUGUUGUUGUUGUUUUUCCCUGCCUCCCCACUGAUCCCUUGAACUUUUUUUUAGAAUUGCAUUUUGACUUAUUUAUAGUACACUUAAGCUAUUUCUUUUUAUGGCAUUUUUGUCUUUUUUGGGUAUUACAUAACAUUCUUGUUGACUGGUUUUAUCAUUUUGUCGGUUCAAAUGAAUUGUGAAAACCUUUUAUAACCCUUGAACCUUUUAUAAAUCUCCAUUUGCGUCUCUUUUCCCUCCGCCCUUUAUAAUGUAAUUGGCUUAAAUAUUUUUCUACAUACAUUUAGAACCACAUCAUACCGUGUUAUAGAUUUUGUUUCAACUGCCAAACAUAAGACUCAGAAAAAAGGGAUAAUGUAUUUGUUCUUAUUUUUUCUCCUUCCAUUGGUUGCUUUUCUUUCUUAAUGUUUCAAAAUGUCUUCUAUUAUAAUGUUAUUUUCAUUUUUAAAACUUCAUUUAAUCAUUUCUUUAUAGUAAGCCUGAUUGAUUACAAAUUAUCUAGCUUUUCUCAUCUGAGAAUGUCUUGAUAUCCCCUUUAUUCCUAAAUAUAAUUUUACUAGACAUAAGAUUCUGGGUUAGAUGUUUACUUUCAGCACUUGCAAAAUGUUGUGCCACUUCAUUCUGGCCUCCAGGAGUCCUGAUAGGAAAUCUGAUGCUAUUGAAAUUAUUUUUUUAUUAUAGGUAAGAUUGUGACUCUUUGGCUGCUCUUAAGAUUUUUCUUUGUUAUUUUCACAAGUUUGUCUGUGAUGUGCAUGGGUGUGAAAUUCUUGCAUUUGUAUUAUUUGAGGUUCACUUAGUCUCUUGAAUCUCUGGGUUUAUUUCUUUUGCUAAAUUUGGGAACUUUAAAACCAUUAAUUAUUUGAAUGAUUUUUCAGCCUUAACCUCCUUUUUCUUUCCUUUCAUUUUAGUAUUCCACUGACACAAAUGUUAAAUAUUUGCUAUAUACCCAUAGGUCCCUGAGACUUUGUUUUUUGUUCCACUCUACUUUCUGUGUUGUUCGAAUUGGAUAAUUUGUAUUAUUUUGUUUUCAAGUUUACUGAUUCUCUCCUUUGUUCCCUCCUUUCUGCUCUUGAGCCCAUCCAUUGACUUUAUAAAUUUAAUUUAUUGCAUUUUUCAGUUGCAAAAUUUCCCAUUUAAUUUGACUUUCUAUCUUUUAUAUAUUUGCUGUGACCUUCUAUUUUUUCAGUUUUUUAAAAUGUGUUAGUUGCUCACUAAAGCAUUUUUAUGAUAGCUUCUUUAAAAUACUUUUCAGGUAAUUCUAAUGUCUUUGUCAUCUCAGUGUUAGCUUCAGUUGAUUUUUUUUUUCUCAUUCAGAUUUAGGUUUUCCUCAUUCUUAGUAUAAUAAAGGAUUUUCAGUGGUAACCUCAACAUUAUUGGUAGCAUAUUGUGAAACUCUUGGUCAGUUUAAAACCUAUUUUAACUGGCUUUUCUGAUACCAUUAUGGCAGAGGAUUGUCAUUGCCCCUUGUUAUUGCCACGUGAAGUUAUAAGUCCAGAUUCAACACUUGACCUCUGUUUACACCCAAGUUGGGGGCUUUAAAUUGCUACCAGGAGAGAGAGAGAGACAGAGAGAGAGAGAGAGAGAGAGAGAGAGAGACUGGUGGGGAGUCUUUUAACUUCCUACUGGGCUUCCACAAUGCCAUCCUGGUUGGGAUAGCUGAGGGUGUCUUGUUGCUCCUUCUCAUAAGGCCUAAACUGACUCUGAGGAAGUGGAGUGAGUGGCAGUCUUAUUAUCGUUGAAUAGUGAAGAGAUACCUGAUUCUCUAUUCGACCACCUCUGACCUCAUCCCAACAGUGUUUGUGUUGUGGGGCAUUAGGGAAAGAGGCAGUUGUUGCUACCUUUUAGAGAUGGAAAUUCAAGAACUCCAUGUGGUCUCCACUGACACCAAAGUGAGGAGGGUUUUCAUCCUUGUGAGGAUAAAUCCAGGCCCUCUAUUCAGGCUUCUCUGACCCCACCCCAAUAUUGUCGUUGGACAACCUUAUUUUAAUCUGAUGCUGGUGGAAAUGUGGCUAUCCACUUAGCCUUUGCUAAUGUGUUCGAUAAUGAGGCUACAGUUUUUCCUGUGAUGUUUGGCUGGAAUAGAGUGGCUGUUUUUACAAGUUUUGGUCCUCAGCUAGAGAGCAAAAUAUUGUUCAGGCUUUUUUUGUCUGUAUCCAUUGACCUAUGUAGGUUGCUGGCUUUUCCAGCACCCAGUCUUGGAUAUAUGGGGCAAACAUAAAACUGAGAAAAUUCACCAUCAUGUCGUUCUUUGAAUCCAAAGAUCCCUAGCUGAUCAGCCUUCUCUCCAAAUUUCAGAGGAUUCUUAACAUUUCUUUUAUAUAUAACGUCCAUAGUUUUUAGUUGUGUUUGGCUAGAAGAAUAGGAAACAUACAUGUACUUCAUCUUCACAGAAAUAGAAAUAUGCCAUGGAAUCUUUUCAAAUAAAUAAACUGAACAGUGACCACAAUGGCCAAGAAUGUCAAUUUGGGAUCAGACUGUGUUUGACUUCCAGCUCCAAAACAUUUUAGCUUUGUGAUCAUGUGAGAAAUAAUGAAUCAUUACAAGUAUCAGCUUCUUCAUCUCCAAUAGAGAUAAAUACUAGCACCUCCACCACAGGAUUAUUAUGAGCGGUAAAUGAGAGUCUAUAUAUGAAAUACUUAUUACAGUGCCUAUCACUGGAAAAAAUUUUAAAUAAUUAUUUGUAUUGUAGAAAGAGUUUGUAGCAGGCAUGCAAUCUAUUCCUGUCCUUUACUGGUGAAUGUCUCAUAAAACAAAUAAAAGAAAACGAGAAGAAUCUCCUUGUAAGCAAGCCAACUGCAAAUCUUUUGGCAAACACACUAAUAUCAUAGUGACUAGGAGAUUGUCCACAUUUAUGGAAUGGUUUCGGCAGGAUGUGCCAGGUCUGUGUAAUAUUAAUUAUAGGAAAAAUCCUGGAUUCUAUUGACUUAUGAAGUAUGGCUCCCUGGAAAAUGUCACAUAAGCUUUGUAAAUAUUGGAGAACAAAAUGGAGAUGUUUUCGUGAUUAAACCAGUUCCCUUUUGUGUAAGUGAUGACCAUAUAUAGCCUUUAAAUGCCUCAUAUAUUAAAUCUACAUUAGAGCACCUACUAGAACAGCAAGAUAAAAGGGAUCUGUGUUGACAAUCCUGGACUUUUCAUGCUUGGUCUGUGCUUCACAACCGCCUGAGUUUGACAUUGGGUAAAACUUCUGAUUUUAUGUUCCUCUGACUUCACAAUGCAACUCUUUGUAUUAUCUCUAUAGUAUAUACAAAAUUAUCCGUAAAUCCAUAUCAUCACUCAUAGAAAACUGUAUGUAAUGUUUCAGUCUUUUCUUUUUCUGUCUCUUUGAAUAAACACCCCUAAAAUUCAAUCAUACGAUACAUAGUAAUGUUUACUUUUUUAUUUUUUUCACUUUUUAUCAUGUUGCGAAUAUUUUCCACACCAC